Molecule: long non-coding RNA, 538 nt
Organism: Carassius gibelio (silver crucian carp)
Lineage: Eukaryota; Metazoa; Chordata; Actinopteri; Cypriniformes; Cyprinidae
Exons: 3
Source: RefSeq, a predicted model, not a curated record
UAUAUAUCUAUCUAUCUAUCUAUCUUAUGUCUCCACACCUUCCAGACUAUCGUUCAGCCAGAUCGGUCUAAAGAUGGACACAGCAGUGCAUCGUCUCGCUUCAGUGAUGGCAGAGGUCCUCCUGGAUUCCCUGGGCGCAGACGAAUGGGUAGAAUAAACCACGGUGCAGGUCCCACCCCUCCUCCUAUGGGUGGAGGAGGAUGAGGAAGGUAAACACCUGCACAACGAUGCAGGCGCACAGGGGUGAGACACCCUGGUUUUAGGCUGCAUACUGCUCAGAUAGGGCUCCGUUGCAGACAUGCACUCAGUACGUCACACUCCUCUUCCCACGGCUGCCGCUGCUUUCAAGCAGUUUCUUGACGUUACUCUGGGAAUUCCUCGUCUGAGGGGCCAGACUGACUGAUCAUGGCAGCCAAACCCCAGCCGCCAUCAUAAAAAAACCCAGGACUCUCUCACACUUUUUUUUUUUUAUUAAUAUAUCUUCUGAAAUAUAUUUUGUAGUGGAUGUUGAAUGUACACUUUGCAUCAAUAAAGUUAU